AGCUUUAAGUUUUAUUUAAAGUGAGGCCUGCCCAGUGCUAGUUUGUAAACGGCCGCAGUACCUUGACUGUGCUAAGGUAGCAUAAUCAGUUGGCUUUUAAAUGGAGUCGGGAAUGAAUGGAUUAAUAGGGUUAAGCUGUCUCUACUAUACUAAAUUGAAUUUACUUAUUAGGUGAAAAUGCCUAAUCUAAGAAAAAAGACGAGAAGACCCUAGGAGUUUUCACUAGAUGCUAUAUGUAAUAGUUAAUGUUUUUGUUGGGGCGACAUUGGAAUAUUUAUUUAACUUCCUCUAUAUUAUAGGCCGACUUUGUAUGUAAAUUUAAACUACCCUAGGGAUAACAGCGUAAUUCUUUUGAGCUUGCGACCUCGAUGUUGGACUAGGAAUUUGGUAGGCUAGCCGCCUAUUUAUAUUGUUCUGUUCGAACUGUCUUUCCUACAU
Molecule: ribosomal RNA, 438 nt
Filed under: Plakobranchus ocellatus
Lineage: Eukaryota; Metazoa; Mollusca; Gastropoda; Plakobranchidae
Description: partial 16S ribosomal RNA
Rfam family: Bacterial large subunit ribosomal RNA
Source: RNAcentral